This is a long non-coding RNA of Chrysemys picta bellii (western painted turtle), 1219 nucleotides long. RefSeq lists it as uncharacterized. Lineage: Eukaryota; Metazoa; Chordata; Testudines; Emydidae. The record is from RefSeq and is a predicted model, not a curated record.
CUUUACUGGGUUGGUUUCUAUUCUCUCCCUUCACAAGCUGGAGAAGGAUACUUGAGACCACCAGCAAAGAUCAAUGAGACCUCCAGCAAAGAUCAGUUGCCUAACAGAGAACAUUCCGAUGCCUGACAGAGCCCUUCUCCACAGAAGUUUGGACCCAUCAAACCCAGACUGUCUGCCACAUAUAGGGGCUAAUCUGUGGCCUCUCUCAUUUUAUAUAGUUCCAAAUCCACACAGAUCCAUAGAUGCUGAGGAUCCUACCUAUGUACUUCCCUCAACUCUAGCACAAACACAGAGCGAAUGAGAAAAAUGCCUGGAAAUUCCUUACUUCAAAUGUCAUCAUGAGUGGGUCAUCUCAUGAUUUGAAGCUGUUGGUUUUGACGUCAUCUACUUACUGUUCUACGUGGAUUCUAAGCCUAAACGAGAUGGGAUGUGGCACCCCCUCAACAGCUCCCUGCUUCCCUUCAUCCUAUCCAUCAUAGCAACCCAUCCUGUUCCCUGUCUACAUCAUUUCCUCCUUCAAAAAGACAGUCCAAGUUUGCUCAAUUGCGUGCAGAGGCAAAUGUGAGCUGACUCCUCUACAGGGAGAGAGAAGAAGAAUAUAGCAGUGAUCUUAGUGAGUGAAUAUGUCACGCCCAAUACUAAUAUACUUCCUUAGAUGUGGUGCCCUCGACAACUGCCUAUGCCUAAUAUUGCCCCGCCAAUAAAAACUCUGUUCUCACUCUGAAUUUACAGACCUUUGUUUCUUUAUACUGAACCAUUUAUGAAAGCUUUUCACCUACACCUCUGGGUCAGCCAAUUGAAGUGUGUUGGAUUGCCUUUCAAGUCAUUAACCUGCUUGCCUUUCAAGUCAUUAACCUGAGGUGCCCUCUGGUCUCACUGCACUGUGCAGAUGGAAGUUGCAGAUCUCACAUCACUAAUUGUAACAAACAAGAAAUAUUGCCAAUGUCCUGGAAAAGCUUCCACUGUCCUUCAGCUGAUGCCAACUCAAAUUAGAAGCACUGGGGUUUGCGAUGUUCAGUGCAUGACUGCAAAAGGUGCUGUUGCUAAAGACGAUAUAUGUCAAUUUCCCUGCGAAAUAGUCUGUCACUCCCCCAACUGAUAUGGGAAGAAAUAUUUUGCUAUUUACUUUGCAAAAUUCACUAACAGUGAUGUGGCAUUCCUGUUCCUAUCUUGUGAAACACUAUAAACAUUCCCAGGGUGGUUGUUGCUGCUAGCUAGA